This 514-nucleotide ribosomal RNA is filed under the name uncultured bacterium. RNAcentral's name for it is "bacterial SSU rRNA". It matches the Rfam family "Bacterial small subunit ribosomal RNA", at positions 25 to 518 of the family's 1533-position model. The record is from RNAcentral.
CAGAACGAACGCUGGCGGCGUGCUUAACACAUGCAAGUCGAACGCGAAAGGGACUUCGGUCCUGAGUAAAGUGGCGCACGGGUGAGUAACGCGUAGAUAACCUGUCUUCAUGUCUGGAAUAAUACGCCGAAAGGGGUACUAAUACCGGAUAUUCUUGCUUUUCAUAAGUUAUGCAAGCAAAGGUGGCCUCUGCAUAUGCUGCUGCAUGAAGAGGGGUCUGCGUACCAUUAGCUAGUAGGUGGGGUAAUGGCCUACCUAGGCGACGAUGGUUAGCGGGUCUGAGAGGAUGAUCCGCCACACUGGCACUGGAACACGGGCCAGACUCCUACGGGAGGCAGCAGUGAGGAAUAUUGCGCAAUGGGGGAAACCCUGACGCAGCGACGCCGCGUGAGUGAAGGAAGGCCUUCGGGUCGUAAAGCUCUGUCAAGAGGAAAGAAGUGUACAAUGGCUAAUACCUGUUGUAUUUGACGGUACCUCUAAAGGAAGCACCGGCUAACUCCGUGCCAGCCGCAGC